GGAAACCCUGAUCUAGCCAUGCCGCGUGAGCGAUGAAGGCCUUAGGGUUGUAAAGCUCUUUCAGAUGGGAAGAUAAUGACGGUACCAUCAGAAGAAGCCCCGGCUAACUCCGUGCCAGCAGCCGCGGUAAUACGGAGGGGGCUAGCGUUGUUCGGAAUUACUGGGCGUAAAGCGCGCGUAGGCGGAUUGGAAAGUUGGGGGGUGAAAAUCCCGGGGGCUCAACCUCGGAACUGCCUUCAAAACUCCCAGUCUUGAGUUCGAGAGAGGUGAGUGGAAUUCCGAGUGUAGAGGUGAAAUUCGUAGAUAUUCGGAGGAACACCAGUGGCGAAGGCGGCUCACUGGCUCGAUACUGACGCUGAGUGCGAAAGUCGUGGGGAGCAAACAGGAUUAGAUACCCUGGUAGU
This 404-nucleotide ribosomal RNA is filed under the name uncultured bacterium. RNAcentral's name for it is "bacterial SSU rRNA". It matches the Rfam family "Bacterial small subunit ribosomal RNA", at positions 376 to 794 of the family's 1533-position model. The record is from RNAcentral.